Molecule: long non-coding RNA, 287 nt
Filed under: Helianthus annuus (common sunflower)
Lineage: Eukaryota; Viridiplantae; Streptophyta; Magnoliopsida; Asterales; Asteraceae
Description: hypothetical non coding rna
Source: RNAcentral
UGAUACCAUGAACCUAUCACAUCAUUCCUUUCCCUUACUCUUCGAUUCCAAAUCUAUGAUAGAUCAAGGUGUGGAUGUGUGAAAGGUUUGUUUACUUGGCGCGCUAAGAACCUUUCAUGUGGUUUGAUGGCGGUGGAAGCGUUAUUGGCCAUAUUGUUAAAGUUGAAUGGAAGCAAACAUUGCUAAAGUUAUUACCUUUAUUGAUUAUGUGUGAUGUUGGGUACGUAUUAGUAUAUUGAAACGAAUAUGUUUGCUUUUUUCGGUAUUUAUGCAACGUAUCUUUUAAA